RNAcentral lists this long non-coding RNA (209 nucleotides) under Nicotiana benthamiana. Its description in RNAcentral is "long non-coding RNA (NBEN_LNC040227)". Lineage: Eukaryota; Viridiplantae; Streptophyta; Magnoliopsida; Solanales; Solanaceae. The record is from RNAcentral.
AUGCUUGAUAAAGCUCAACCAAAUGUCUUGGUACACGGAAAAUUUUUGCCCAGUGCCCUUUUUCACCGCAACGAUAACAUAUAGUUUCUGAACUAUUUGCAUUUGGAUUCUCAUAAUUCCAUUUCCGCUUUUGGUGGUUUUAUCUCUUUGGGGGGUGACUAACACCAGGAAAAUUUCUUCCUUGUCCACGUCCACGGCCAUGNNNNNNN